This 1229-nucleotide long non-coding RNA is filed under the name Homo sapiens (human). RNAcentral describes it as "MIR3147 host gene". Lineage: Eukaryota; Metazoa; Chordata; Mammalia; Primates; Hominidae. The record is from RNAcentral.
GGGCGAGACGGAGGGGCGGUGCCGAGGGGAGAGGCAGCGCAGAGGGAAGGAGCGGGGCGAGGAGAAGGGGCGGGGCGAGUACUGCUCCAAGAUAUGGCAACCGUGACAGCUUUGCGAGUAGCUCCAGGUCCCCUGCUGCUCCGUGAGAAAUCAAACUUCUGGCAAUGACGAAGCAUGAAGCCAGCAUCUCAGGGAGAGGGAAAUUAAUGUUAUGACUGGAUAAGACAAUUGUGAAGAAACUGCACUUCGAGGUUGUCUGUCUCCGUAUUCCGAUGGAAAAGGCUGGACUUUAGAAGCAUUGCUCGCUCCUUCAGUUUCUAACAAGAGUUUUACAGUUUCUGAUUAAAUACCAAUGGGAUAUCACCUCCCAUCUCUUAGGAUGGCUGUUAUAAAAAGGACAAGAGAUAACAAGUGUUGGUGAUGGUGUGGAGAGAAGGGAACCUUUGUACACUGCUGGUUAAAAUGUAAGUUAGUACAGCCAUUAUGGAAAACAGUAUGAAAGUUCCUGAGAAUCUAAAAAUAGAACUACCAUAUGGCUCAGCAAUCCCUCCUAUGAAUUAUAUAUCAACAGGAAAUGAAAUCAGCAUCUGAUAGAGAUAUCUUCACUCCCCUCUUCUCCGUGCCCCACCACAGCAUUGCUCCCAACAGCCAAGCCAUGGGAUGAAGUUACUGUGCAUUGAUGGAUGAGUGGAGAAAAGAAAAUGUGGGGGAGGUGUUUGUGCAUGUAUGUGUGUGUGUGUAUAAUAUAUAAUAAUAUAAUAUUUUUCAGCUUUUAAGAAGUUGAAGAUACUGCCAUUUGUGAUAACAUAAAUGAAUCUGGAGGAUAUUAAGCUAAGUAAAAUAACUUAGGGAGAGAGAAAAAUACUGCAUAAUUUCUGUUACAUAUGAAAUCUUUAAAAAGGUUUAAUACAUAGAGACAUGAUAGAGUGAUGAUUUGGGGGAUAAGAGACACAAGUCAACGUUUCAGUUAUAUAAAAUAAAUGAAUCUAGAGGACUAAAGUACAAUUUAAAGGUUAUAGUUACUAUUUUUAUAUUAUAUACUAGUGAUUUUUGAACAGGGUAAACUUUAGGUGCUUUGACACCAAAAGGAAACUACAUGAGUUCAUGUAUAUGUUAAAUUGUUUGACCGCAGUCAUCAUUGAUAUGUAUAUGUAUAUAUAUAUAAUUAUGGGCUCAUUAAAUUUAAAUGCUAUAAAUAGGUAACAAAGAAUAAAGUUAAUUGAAAAACU